CAGAAUUACCCAAUCCCGACACGGGGAGGUAGUGACAAUAAAUACUGAUACAGGGCUCUUUUGGGUCUUGUAAUCGGAAUGAGUACAAUUUAAAUCCCUUAACGAGGAACAAUUGGAGGGCAAGUCUGGUGCCAGCAGCCGCGGUAAUUCCAGCUCCAAUAGCGUAUAUUAAAGUUGUUGUGGUUAAAAAGCUCGUAGUUGAACCUUGGGCCUGGCUGGCCGGUCCGCCUCACCGCGUGCACUGGUCCGGCCGGGCCUUUCCCUCUGCGGAACCCCAUGCCCUUCACUGGGUGUGGCGGGGAAACAGGACUUUUACUUUGAAAAAAUUAGAGUGCUCAAGGCAGGCCUAUGCUCGAAUACAUUAGCAUGGAAUAAUAGAAUAGGACGUGUGGUUCUAUUUUGUUGGUUUCUAGGACCGCCGUAAUGAUUAAUAGGGACAGUCGGGGGCAUCAGUAUUCAAUUGUCAGAGGUGAAAUUCUUGGAUUUAUUGAAGACUAACUAC
This 502-nucleotide ribosomal RNA is filed under the name Trichoderma atroviride. RNAcentral describes it as "SSU rRNA". It matches the Rfam family "Eukaryotic small subunit ribosomal RNA", at positions 436 to 943 of the family's 1831-position model. The record is from RNAcentral. Lineage: Eukaryota; Fungi; Ascomycota; Sordariomycetes; Hypocreales; Hypocreaceae.